Molecule: non-coding RNA, 696 nt
Organism: Meriones unguiculatus (Mongolian gerbil)
Lineage: Eukaryota; Metazoa; Chordata; Mammalia; Rodentia; Muridae
Source: the annotation of a RefSeq genome assembly
GGGGGAAAAGAAACAUCCCUUGCUGCUGGAGAAGCCAAAAAGGAUAGUGACAUCACAGACAAAACCACCAAUCAGGGCCACGAGGAAUAAAGCCAGCUCUCAGCCAGAGUAUCUUAGCUAUGCAAUACCUACCUGGGACUUGAUUACACCAUGAGCUGCAGUGUUCUCUUCUAUGUUUUCCUAUGUCUCCUGGGGGCAGCACUCACAAACACUAAAGUUACCCAGACACCAAGAUAUCUGGUUAUGGGAAGAGCAAGUAAGAAGUCUUUGAAAUGUGAGCAACAUCUGGGACAUAAUGCUAUGUACUGGUACAAACAGAAUGCUGAGAAGCCUCCAGAGCUCAUGUUUUCGUACAACGUUAGGAAACUGAUUGAAAACGCGACUGUGCCCAUUCGUUUCUUACCUGAAUGCCCGGACAGCUCCCAUUUACUCCUUCACCUGUCUGCCCCGGAGCCAGAAGACUCAGCUGUAUACUUUUGUGCCAGCAGCCAAGACACAGCCCUACAGAUUCAUCAGCUCUCUGUGCACAAACCUACAAGUUCAGGAAGCUGUGGGGCAGCUGAGGUCUCCACUGAACAUUUCAUAUAGGACCCAAGACAGAUGUUGCAAACCAUAACACUCCCUUCUAACUCAACCCCUGCCUCACCUCUAUAUUCCAUGUCCGUAUUCAGAGGUGAUGUUUGCUUCACUUGUACA